RNAcentral lists this ribosomal RNA (345 nucleotides) under uncultured Anoxybacillus sp. RNAcentral describes it as "bacterial SSU rRNA". It matches the Rfam family "Bacterial small subunit ribosomal RNA", at positions 1035 to 1382 of the family's 1533-position model. Lineage: Bacteria; Bacillati; Bacillota; Bacilli; Caryophanales; Anoxybacillaceae. The record is from RNAcentral.
CAGGUGGUGCAUGGUUGUCGUCAGCUCGUGUCGUGAGAUGUUGGUUAAGUCCCGCAACGAGCGCAACCCUCGACCUUAGUUGCCAGCAUUCAGUUGAGCACUCUAAGGUGACUGCCGGCUAAAAGUCGGAGGAAGGUGGGGAUGACGUCAAAUCAUCAUGCCCCUUAUGACCUGGGCUACACACGUGCUACAAUGGGCGGUACAAAGGGUCGCGAACCCGCGAGGGGGAGCCAAUCCCAAAAAGCCGCUCUCAGUUCGGAUUGCAGGCUGCAACUCGCCUGCAUGAAGCCGGAAUCGCUAGUAAUCGCGGAUCAGCAUGCCGCGGUGAAUACGUUCCCGGGCCUU